UUAAGUUCAGCGGGUAUUCCUACCUGAUCCGAGGUCAACACUUUGUAUAUAAAAAAAGACCGUCGCCCGCAGAGUCGUCCCGCGUACACGCUCGUGAAAGCUCCUCGUACCGGUUCCGUCUGGGACGCCGUCAUUAUCUUUGAGGCGGGUGAUCGGGUAUGACCACCGGGAGCCCAACACCAAGCCGGGGCUUGAGGGGU
RNAcentral lists this unclassified non-coding RNA (200 nucleotides) under Chaetothyriales sp. Its description in RNAcentral is "partial internal transcribed spacer 2". Lineage: Eukaryota; Fungi; Ascomycota; Eurotiomycetes; Chaetothyriales. The record is from RNAcentral.